UACGACGGGGCCUAGCGUUGCUCGGAAUCACUGGGCGUAAAGCGCACGUAGGCGGCUUCUUAAGUCAGGGGUGAAAUCCUGGGGCUCAACCCCAGAACUGCCCUUGAUACUGAGGAGCUUGAGUCCGGGAGAGGUGAAUGGAACUCCGAGUGUAGAGGUGAAAUUCGUAGAGAUUCGGAAGAAUACCAGUGGCGAAGGCGGCUCACGGGCCCGGUACUGACGCUGAGGUGCGAAAGCGUGGGGAGCAAACAGG
This 253-nucleotide ribosomal RNA is filed under the name uncultured bacterium. Its description in RNAcentral is "partial 16S ribosomal RNA". It matches the Rfam family "Bacterial small subunit ribosomal RNA", at positions 524 to 776 of the family's 1533-position model. The record is from RNAcentral.